Molecule: ribosomal RNA, 253 nt
Filed under: uncultured bacterium
Lineage: Bacteria
Description: partial 16S ribosomal RNA
Rfam family: Bacterial small subunit ribosomal RNA
Source: RNAcentral
GACGAACCGUACAAACGUUAUUCGGAAUCACUGGGCUUAAAGGGUGCGUAGGCGGCGCUGAAAGUAGGGUGUGAAAUCCCUCGGCUCAACCGAGGAACUGCGCUCUAAACUACAGUGCUCGAGGGAGACAGAGGUGAGCGGAACUUAGGGUGGAGCGGUGAAAUGCGUUGAUAUCCUAAGGAACACCGGUGGCGAAAGCGGCGUACUGGGUCUUAUCUGACGCUGAGGUGCGAGAGCGUGGGGAGCGAACCGG